GACUAUUUAGUCAGUAACAAUGACUGUUCGAUCACAGGAUCUCAUAUGGGCAAGGUGCCUAACUCUAGGCUAAAAACAGACUCAUAUUUGAAGAGAUAUAUAUUGAGAUAUAUCUUUUAAACCCAUGAAAGUCCCAAAUUAUAACAGUCCAGUGCUAAAUACUACUUGCAGCUCAGUUACACAAAUUCGAACAUAAGUAAUAAAAAUAAAACACGACAACUUAGCAUCUAUAUCUAAAGCUUUGUUACAAAGCAUGGAUAUAGUACAGAGAACAAGGGCAUCGGCUUAAAAUGCAGCUUUCAUUUCAAUGGACUUUCACCCCUAUUAUAUGAUCAAUAAUCACUUCUCAACCAUAGUUAGGAAAGUACCUGGCAAAUGUAAAGAUGAAGAAGGGUAAGCAAUCAACCAAUGCAGCAAAAACCAGUAGAUAAAUAGCCAAGGUGAACUCAGAUUCAGCAAAUGAAAACAAGGAAACUCAGCUCAAAAAAAGAAACCUAGAAAUUGUAAUACGCAACCAGCUUGAACCCUAAAAACUUCCAAAAAUAAAACCAAUAUCAAUGCACACUAACCCUCGAAUGAACCAGAAAUUAGUUCCUAACUUGAAAAUCCCAG
Molecule: long non-coding RNA, 612 nt
Filed under: Nicotiana benthamiana
Lineage: Eukaryota; Viridiplantae; Streptophyta; Magnoliopsida; Solanales; Solanaceae
Description: long non-coding RNA (NBEN_LNC035177)
Source: RNAcentral